AGUGAACGCUGGCGGUAUGCCUAAUACAUGCAAGUCGAGCGGCAGCACAGUAAGAGCUCUCUCUUACCGUUGGCGAGUGGCGGAUGGGUGAGGAAUACAUCGGAAUCUACUUUGUCGUGGGGGAUAACGUAGGGAAACUUACGAUAAUACCGCAUAUGACCUACGGCUGAAAGCAGUGGAUCUUCGGACCUUGCGCGAUUGAAUGAGACGAUGCCGGAUUAGCUAGUUGGCGGGGUAAAGGCCCACCAAGGCGACGAUGCGUAGCUGACCUGAGAGGAUGAUCAGCCACACUGGAACUGAGACACGGUCCAGACUCCUACGGGAGGCAGCAGUGGGGAAUAUUGGGCAAUGGGCGCAAGCCUGAUCCAGCCAUGCCGCGUGAGUGAAGAAGGUCUUCGGGUUGUAAAGCCCUUUUGUUGGGGAAGAAAAGCAGCAGGUUAAUACACGGCUGUUCUGACGGUACCUAAACAGAAAGCACCGGCUAACUACGUG
This 492-nucleotide ribosomal RNA is filed under the name uncultured bacterium. Its description in RNAcentral is "partial 16S ribosomal RNA". It matches the Rfam family "Bacterial small subunit ribosomal RNA", at positions 29 to 507 of the family's 1533-position model. The record is from RNAcentral.